This 429-nucleotide ribosomal RNA is filed under the name Gemmatimonadota bacterium. RNAcentral describes it as "Gemmatimonadetes bacterium partial 16S ribosomal RNA". It matches the Rfam family "Bacterial small subunit ribosomal RNA", at positions 355 to 776 of the family's 1533-position model. The record is from RNAcentral. Lineage: Bacteria; Pseudomonadati; Gemmatimonadota.
UAGGGAAUCUUCGGCAAUGGACGAAAGUCUGACCGAGCAACGCCGCGUGAGUGAAGAAGGUUUUCGGAUCGUAAAACUCUGUUGUUAGAGAAGAACAAGGACGUUAGUAACUGAACGUCCCCUGCCGGUAUCUAACCAGAAAGCCACGGCUAACUACGUGCCAGCAGCCGCGGUAAUACGUAGGUGGCAAGCGUUGUCCGGAUUUAUUGGGCGUAAAGCGAGCGCAGGCGGUUUCUUAAGUCUGAUGUGAAAGCCCCCGGCUCAACCGGGGAGGGUCAUUGGAAACUGGGAGACUUGAGUGCAGAAGAGGAGAGUGGAAUUCCAGGUGGAGCGGUGAAAUGCGUAGAUAUAUGGAGGAACACCAGUGGCGAAGGCGGCUCUCUGGUCUGUAACUGACGCUGAGGCUCGAAAGCGUGGGGAGCAAACAGG